Molecule: long non-coding RNA, 789 nt
Filed under: Homo sapiens (human)
Lineage: Eukaryota; Metazoa; Chordata; Mammalia; Primates; Hominidae
Description: HSALNT0324734
Source: RNAcentral
CGUGGCCUGGUCUGCCUGCUCCAGGGCGCAGCUGCGCCCGCUUCAGCGCCUCCCGGGUCUGCGUGGCCUGCUCGGCUCAGAGGCCUCCACCACGGUCCGCUCCCUGCCGGACGCCGCGCUGCUGUGGCCGCGGUGGUUCUGUGGCUGUGAGGGCCGUUUCUGUCCGUCCACACCGCCUUCCCUCUGCAGAUUUCCUCUGCAGAGGCCCGGAGUUACCAGCAAGGUCUGACGCAGCAGAGUGCAGAAACGGCCUCCCUGUCUGUCAAAGUGGCCUCCCGAGGACACCCAGCGAGGCCACCAGAUCAUCACGUGGAGUAUCGGUGGCCUUAUUAAAACAAAAACAACAACUCCACAGCCCGGCGAGCGUGUGAAAUCAUCACCACAACCAAGCCAAGUGCAUCCAUCGCUCAGGCAGUCACCAUGGUGUGAGUGCGGUGAGACGGCUUUGAUCUGGCUCUCAGCCACUUCUGAUGCUCCUGGUACCUGCAGUCACCACGCUGCACCCAGGCUUCUGUGUGUGUUCAUCCCACAGCUGCAGAAAGCAUCGCCAGGUCCAAGGCCGUGUGGUUGGAGCUGAGCAGCAUGUGGCCUUUUCAGCUGGCUCCUGUCAUCUCAUCACAUGCAUUUGAGGCCCCUCCAUGCCUUUUCCUGGCUUGACAGCUCAUUUCUUUUUAGUGCUGAAGAAUAUUCCGUUGUCUGGAUGUGCCAUGGUUUAUGUAUCCAUUCACCUACUGAGGGGCACCUCGGUUGCCUUGGAGUUUUGACAAUUAUAAAUAAAGUGGCUGUACA